Molecule: non-coding RNA, 161 nt
Filed under: pig gut metagenome
Description: Lysine riboswitch
Rfam family: Lysine riboswitch aptamer
About the family: Riboswitches are metabolite binding domains within certain messenger RNAs that serve as precision sensors for their corresponding targets. Allosteric rearrangement of mRNA structure is mediated by ligand binding, and this results in modulation of gene expression.
Source: RNAcentral
CUGAUAGAGGUGCGGGACUGAUCAGUAGCAAAGCCGUAAAGAUCUGCGGAGAUCGGCUGUGUGAAAGGCUAACCGCCGAAGAGUGCGCAUUCCGUGGUGUGCAUAUCUGGCUGUGCGUUGAACAGGCGUACGGUUGUCAUCGGUCUGAUGGAGAGCUAUCG